UUCAUCUAAUGGAUUCCAAUGGCAAAGUUCUCUUCUCGAUUCGAAAUAGGAAAGUUCCUGUAUUUGGACAUUGGGAUGGUUAUAAAUGGAGUUAUGAUGGAGUUACUAGUAAAGAAAUACCAUGGUUUCAAGUGAAGAAAAUUCACAAUGUUCUUAGAGAAGUUAAUGUGAACUAUUAUAAUGUUAUAUUAGGAU
Solanum stenotomum is the source of this 195-nucleotide long non-coding RNA. RefSeq lists it as uncharacterized. NCBI's taxonomy places the organism in Eukaryota, Viridiplantae, Streptophyta, Magnoliopsida, Solanales, Solanaceae. The record is from RefSeq and is a predicted model, not a curated record. The transcript has 2 exons.